GCAGUUAGUUUUGGGGCUGGAAAUUUGAGCAGAGAGAAUGGCAGAGUCUUUUCAGGAGCCAGAAAUGCAUGUGAGGACCAAGAACUUCUAACAGUAGAGGAACUCUGGCUGGGGUAGUUGAGGGGGAGGAGAAAUGAGGAUCAAGGGGGCAUACAGUGCAUGAAAACAAAAGGUGAGGCCCAAGAUCAGCCAAAGUGAGUAAACCACGGUUACCAUGGCUACUCUUCAGUGGAGACGGAAGGAAGCCCUGUAUCCUCCCCUUCCAACCACACUACGCUGUUCCACUCCCCAUCUCCAUCUCCUGUACCCCAGACACACUCAGGCAAGCACAGCACCACCCUGGAUGACUCUGCGGAAUGCCUCUCAGAGACACGGAACUAGAAACCUAGGGGAAGAGGGACAUCAAGGCUUUUGCCUCACAAGCUGACUCUGGAACAAAGAGCCAGGCUGAGGGGCUGGAAGAAGAAACUUCCAGCAGAGCCACCCAGAUAUGCUUCCCCCACCCUCUAGACCUUCCACACCAACCAGUGUCCAGUCAGUCCACAGAGCAUCCUCCUGGGCUGUGGUGACUGAAGUUGAAGGGAAGAAAAUAUAAUAAUAAUUUUGGGCAGGUCGUCUUUCUUUACUGUAUUGGAUGGAUAUAGAAUCAAUAAAUCUAUAGGUUUAUCCCAUUUUUCUGAACAAAUUUAGAGGUCAAAGAUGAACCCUCAAGGGGACAGAAUAUGACCAGCAGGACUAUUGAUAUCGUCUGCCCUAGGCACUCCUCCUUACCCUCCUCUCCCCUAUAUUUUGGGGGCAGUCAUAUUCCUCAGCAGUCAGUUGCUCUGCCUCCAGUCCUAACUGGCUUCUGAAAAACAGUUCUGGUCCAUUCAUUCCCUGUCUCGAGACUUCCGGAGCUUCCUGACCUGUGAAUGAAAUCCACAGGCCCAUCACAAGAUGGCUGCGCUCUCCAGUCCCCGGCACCCCAGGCUGCUCUGAACAUGUGAGAGCUCCUCCCUCAAGGCCUGAAUUUUCGCAGGUCUUCAUCACACUCAGCCCGCCAUCAUUUUUUCAGAUUCAGUUCCAAUAUGUCACUCUGUCUGUAGAGCCUUCCCUGAAUCUCACAGACAAAUGCGGCAGUUCCCUUUGUGGGGGAUAUUCAUCAUGUUUUUCCUCAUUGGCCUAUGUUUUUGCCUCUUCUUGUAGAUGUCCAUCUAGGCUGGGAGCUCCUAGGGGGUAAACGCAGCCUCUCACUCACCUGGCACAGAGUCGAUGCUCAUGGAAUGAUACGUGAUGGGGAGAGUGAGUAAGUGAAUGAAUGAAUGAAUGCUAUUCUGGAAGGAAGAGGGAGAGAGGGAGCAGGGAAAGGUCAGAAGGGGGCCCAGAGUCUUCAGCACACAAUGUGGGUGUAUCACUGUGGCCAGGAACAAUUCGCUUCUCUGCCUGCAUUACUUUUUGGGAAAUGGGAGAGCUGAGGCUCAGUGUAGGCAAACUGGGUCCAGUCAGCAGGGAAGCCAUGAGCUCCACGGUUUAGGGGAGGAGUCCGGUGCUUAAGGAAGCUAUCACGUGGAAGAUCUCCCUGCCCUCCUCCUAUUGGUCUGUAUUGGUUUUUCUUCUUCACCAGUGGAGGCUUUUCUUCUCCCAGGAAGAAUCCAGAAUAGUUCAGACAAGCUUCAGGUCCGCCAGAACCGGGGAAAACAACGUGUAGGGUUUGUUUUAAAGGGCUUUUAAAUGGGGUUUGGGAGAUCCAGGUAGAUUAGAAUCUUGACUCUGCACUGGCUGUGCAAGACAGAAAUUCACCUUUCAAAACUUCUGUUCCCCAGUCUAUGCGGUAAGAAGUUUAGAUUAGCUGAUUUCUAGGGAGAUUUUGGGCAGGCAUGAUUCAGUUCCAUGAAGGGCUGUGGGACAGGACUGCACUAAGAGGUCCUAUAGAUUGGAUUCUUCAGUUCCCUCCCUUCCGCUGGAGAAUAGAGGAAUCUGCCUUCGCUGCACACUAGAUUUACCUGGAGAACAAAUGGAAAGCAGGCCAGGAUCCUGGGUGAAAUGUGGCACAUUUGAGGAGACUUCAACUUCCCUUGCCCUCCAGUGUGGUCUUUUCCCCACCCCCAGACAUGAAAGGGAAGCAGGUCACAAAGCCUUUCGGAUUAUAAAAGAAACACUUGCUUCUCACAAGGGGAGCAGCAGACUUACUCUGUACUAAAUGCCAGGAUAAGCCUCUGGCUGGGCCUCGACUGUGACCCUCCGGCCUCUUUCUACAGCUCUGCCUGGAUGGACUGGCCUAUCUCUGCUGGAUUCCCGAAGUGCAUUGUGUAGAGACAGCAACUCAGAGGUGGGACCAGCUGCCAGGCCCUUUCUCCAUUGGUUGAGUUCAGCAGGUAACCUGAAGCUUUGCUGAGAGGUGCAUAAAUAAAGAGUGAAACUAGUACCACCUCCUUGAAAUGGGCUGAGUCCCUCUUGCUCACCCUUGACUUGGAAAAACCAGUUUCUCUUUUAUUGUCUGUUACUAAUCUCUAUUCUAAAAAUUCAGCUCAAUUCUCAACCAUACUCCAAACUCUCUCUUUUCCAGCUACCUUUACUCCCUCUCCUUCAAUUCCACUUUCCUCUGCUUACUUUUUUUUUUUUUCUGACAGGGUCUCACUUUGUCGCCCGGGCAGGAGUGCAGUGGCUCAAUCUUGGGCUCACUGCAGCCUCAACCUCCCAGGUUCAAGCGAUUCUCCUGCCUCAGCCCCUCAAGUAGCUGGGACUACAAGCGCACACCACCACGCCUGACUAAUUUUUUGUAUUUUUUUGUAGAGGCGGGGUUUCACCAUGUUGCCCAGACUGGUCUUGAACUCCUGAGCUUAAGCAAUCCACCUGCCUCGGCCUCCCAAAGUGUUGGGAUCACAGGCGUGAGCCACCGCAUCCGGCCUCAUGUUCUUUUUCAUUAAAGAGAGAAAUCAACUAUUCAGGACCGGCCCCCACCUUUCCUCAGGAGUCAUUUCUGUUCCGCACAGGCCUGCUGAACUGGGUGCUUUAUAUAGGACACUGUCAUCUCUCAAGUACCCAUCUUGGAGGGUACGGACCCCACAUGAGGGUGAGGCUCUCUGCACACUCCAGAAUUUCAGUGGAGUGAAGUUCAGGAGGCAUGGAGCUGACAACCAUGAGGCCUCGGCAGCCACCGCCACCACCGCCGCCGCCACCACCGUAGCAGCAGCAGCAGCAGCAGCAGCAGCAGCAGCAGCAGCAAGAGUAACUCUGACUUAGGAAUAGAGACAGCCAGAGAGAAAUGUGAUCAAUGAAGGAGACAUCUGGAGUGGUCCCCAGGCAGGUGGCUGGGACACUAUUUGCAAUCAGCAAGGAACCCUGCUGCCCUUAGACUCCCCACAGAGCAAGCAGAACUUGCAGAAUGGGGUAAAAACACUCUAUUAAAGAUUUUUUAAACCUAUUUAUAUUGUAAUAAAGUAAAUGUAAAUAAAAUUUAAGUGAAGGCAGAUUGCAGAUAUUUCCGAUGCUAUACAAGAUAUAUCUCAUAGUAUGGGUGUAGAUUCUGCAAAGGUUAAUGCAGUUAAACAUAUUUGACACAUAAAAAUGUCAGAUCCAACAUUAAUCAUUCACCAAUUGUAAUUGCCUUUCUAUGGGUCUCUUCUCCCCAAGACAUAGCUUAAAACACCAGGCUCGGUAGAAAUCUGGGAGGAAAAAAGCAAAUAAUACCUCUCAGCUGUCAGGGUCUAUGAUACGCUUUGAUAGAUUUAGCACUGAUUUCAUUCUCUUUACAAUUCAGUGUGAUUGGGUGUGCGUGUGUGUGUGUGUGUGUGUGUGUGUGUGUGUGUGUGUUACUCCAUGUUUCUCCUUUUUAAGGAAGGAGAAGGUGUGGAACAAGAGAAAGUUCCUAAGUCUGAAGGAAGUCCAACCCAGUUAUGAAGGGAAUGCCAUCCACAAGCCUUUUUUAUAAUUGGCCCCUGCCUCAGGUAAAGGGGUCUCCUUUAAGGAGCCAGUCUGGCUAAAUUGGCAGAUUCUGAACAAAGCCUGGCCCUGACAAGUCUUCAGAAAAACCGGUUUUCACCUCCAGAAUGUGCCCCAG
RNAcentral lists this long non-coding RNA (4039 nucleotides) under Homo sapiens (human). RNAcentral describes it as "HSALNT0021027". Lineage: Eukaryota; Metazoa; Chordata; Mammalia; Primates; Hominidae. The record is from RNAcentral.